CAGCCGCCGCGGUAAUACGAGGGGGGCAAGCGUUGUUCGGAUUUAUUGGGCGUAAAGGGCUCGCAGGCGGUUUCUUAAGUCUGAUGUGAAAGCCCCCGGCUCAACCGGGGAGGGUCAUUGGAAACUGGGAAACUUGAGUGCAGAAGAGGAGAGUGGAAUUCCACGUGUAGCGGUGAAAUGCGUAGAGAUGUGGAGGAACACCAGUGGCGAAGGCGACUCUCUGGUCUGUAACUGGCGCUGAGGAGCGAAAGCGUGGGGAGCGAACAGGAUUAGAUACCCCGGUAGUCCCUGUCUCUUAUAC
This 301-nucleotide ribosomal RNA is filed under the name uncultured bacterium. RNAcentral's name for it is "partial 16S ribosomal RNA". It matches the Rfam family "Bacterial small subunit ribosomal RNA", at positions 509 to 807 of the family's 1533-position model. The record is from RNAcentral.